Molecule: ribosomal RNA, 816 nt
Filed under: uncultured bacterium
Lineage: Bacteria
Description: bacterial SSU rRNA
Rfam family: Bacterial small subunit ribosomal RNA
Source: RNAcentral
AGAGUUUGAUCCUGGCUCAGGAUGAACGCUAGCUACAGGCUUAACACAUGCAAGUCGCGGGGCAUCAUGGAUUCAGCUUGCUGAAUUUGAUGGCGACCGGCGCACGGGUGAGUAACGCGUAUCCAACCUGCCCAUGUCCACGGGAUAGCCCGUCGAAAGGCGGAUUAAUACCCGUAUGAGGUCACAUGCCGGCAUCAGGAUGUGACGAAAGGUUUUGCGGACACGGAUGGGGAUGCGUCCGAUUAGCUUGUUGGCGGGGUAACGGCCCACCAAGGCGACGAUCGGUAGGGGUUCUGAGAGGAAGGUCCCCCACAUUGGAACUGAGACACGGUCCAAACUCCUACGGGAGGCAGCAGUGAGGAAUAUUGGUCAAUGGGCGCGAGCCUGAACCAGCCAAGUAGCGUGCAGGACGACGGCCCUAUGGGUUGUAAACUGCUUUUAUGCGGGGAUAAAGUUGGCGACGUGUCGCCUUUUGCAGGUACCGCAUGAAUAAGGACCGGCUAAUUCCGUGCCAGCAGCCGCGGUAAUACGGAAGGUCCGGGCGUUAUCCGGAUUUAUUGGGUUUAAAGGGAGCGUAGGCCGCCUUUUAAGCGUGUUGUGAAAAACCGGGGCUCAACUCCGGUCGUGCAGCGCGAACUGGAGGGCUUGAGUCCGCAGGAAGUGCGCGGAAUUCGUGGUGUAGCGGUGAAAUGCUUAGAUAUCACGAAGAACCCCGAUUGCGAAGGCAGCGCACUGUAGCGUCACUGACGCUGAAGCUCGAAAGUGCGGGUAUCGAACAGGAUUAGAUACCCUGGUAGUCCGCACGGUAAACGAUGG